AGUUCCCAUUCUAACCCGGCCCCAACCCAAUCCAAAAAAAACCUUUGAAUACUCCACUCUUUCUCAACCUCUCUCGAAUACCCCCUAACCAUAGCUGCCUUCCACCGUCUCCGACACAACUUCCCCGGAAUCUAUGGCUUCUCAGGCAAUAGAUGACAUAUACUUACCUCUUAUUACUCCCGUGUGCCUGAUGCUUGAUGGUUCGAGAUAGACCUUUGCCGACUCAAAGUUUCCGGCCAUCUCUGGCUUUGCUCCAGCAUAUCCUAGCCUCCUGAGCCUGAUUCCGACCUUAUCCGACUUAGAUCGGACCUUUUUCAAAGCCUUUCUCACUCUAGGGUUCCUCUAAAACCCUAGCUAUUCGAGCUUUUUCUUUGAUUUUUUAUAGAUCCGUUGUGUAUCUAUGCUAUGUGUGACUUUUCAAAUGAUUUCCCUAAAUUUUUCGUUGAAAUUACUUUCAAACCCCUUCUUUGCCGAUUUAGGGUUUUCUGGAAAAUGUUUAGGAGUUUUAUGAUUUUUCUUCUUUAUGUUGUCCUCUGCUGUGUUCUCGUAUCAUCUUUUGUAUGCUUCCCUUACUGUGGUCUUGUAGAUUUUUCUACUGUGUUUUCUCAUGUUCUUAUAUGUUUAUCGUACUAUAUUUUCCUAUAUGUUGUCCUGCUAUACCUUUCCUGGGGAUUCUUGUAUUUUCUACUAUAUUUUUCUUGCUAAGUUCUUAUGGUUCUUUGUCUUCCUUCUAGUGAGCCUUGUUUAGGGUUCUGCUAAGCAUGUUUCUCCUGCUGUUCUUAUCAGUAUUUGCUAGUGUGUACUUUGAAUCUUUCUACUGUGAUUGCAUGUUGCUUUGCUAUACAUCUUUUGAUCCAAUUGCUUGCUCUAUUUUGUGAUUUGCCCGAACUAGGAUUCUUGUUUCAAAACCCCAACUCUUUUAGUAUAAUUUUGGAGUUUCAUAUGAUUCUCACUUUUGAUAAACUCUUCUAAACUCUGCUAUUGGAUUUUAUGCUGAUUUACACGACAGUCUUCUUUCAUACUCACAUGCUCCUUAUAUAUGAUGAAUUUCCAUCUAAUUGGUUUUCAAAUUUGCAAAUUAGCAUAAACCUCCUUCUGAAUAUAACUUGAUUGAUUUCCUUCCAUCUUUUACUGAUUUCCUAGAUGAGUUGGCUUAGGUAAACCCUCCUUUAUUUUAUUGUCUUGGUUCAUUAAUACCAAAUUUCAAACCUUUCUGAUUUACUGGCUGUCAACUGAUUCUCUUGCCUUAUUUGCGCAAACCGUGUACUGCCAAGACCUUGUCCUUAAAUAACUUCUAUGUACUUGCCUUUAAUUUGGUGCUUUUAACAAAAAGGUUUGUUGAAUUUCUCUCCUUAAUUAGUUUGUACCGGUUGAAUCUGAAUCCCUUGAUUAAGGGGAGUCUUAUGUAAUUGAUUGACAAUCAGGCUUCUAUUAUUUCUUACCUUAUUUUCUCGUGGCUUUCACACUAUAAAUACAUGACUCUUUAACACAAGACGCACAGAGUUUUAACAAUCACACACGAUAAAACACACUUCAAACUACACAAUCACAAUUCUCUUCUAAACUUAUACUUAGAGUAUUCUUGCUUCUUGUCUGCACUUUGGCUUUUACAAG
This 1614-nucleotide long non-coding RNA is filed under the name Nicotiana benthamiana. RNAcentral's name for it is "long non-coding RNA (NBEN_LNC004536)". Lineage: Eukaryota; Viridiplantae; Streptophyta; Magnoliopsida; Solanales; Solanaceae. The record is from RNAcentral.